This 498-nucleotide ribosomal RNA is filed under the name uncultured bacterium. Its description in RNAcentral is "partial 16S ribosomal RNA". It matches the Rfam family "Bacterial small subunit ribosomal RNA", at positions 28 to 508 of the family's 1533-position model. The record is from RNAcentral.
GACGAACGCUGGCGGCGUGCCUAAUACAUGCAAGUUGAGCGAUGAAGAUUGGUGCUUGCACCAAUUUGAAGAGCAGCGAACGGGUGAGUAACGCGUGGGGAAUCUGCCUUUGAGCGGGGGACAACAUUUGGAAACGAAUGCUAAUACCGCAUAACAACUUUAAACAUAAGUUUUAAGUUUGAAAGAUGCAAUUGCAUCACUCAAAGAUGAUCCCGCGUUGUAUUAGCUAGUUGGUGAGGUAAAGGCUCACCAAGGCGAUGAUACAUAGCCGACCUGAGAGGGUGAUCGGCCACAUUGGGACUGAGACACGGCCCAAACUCCUACGGGAGGCAGCAGUAGGGAAUCUUCGGCAAUGGACGAAAGUCUGACCGAGCAACGCCGCGUGAGUGAAGAAGGGUUUCGGAUCGUAAAACUCUGUUGGUAGAGAAGAACGUUGGUGAGAGUGGAAAGCUCAUCAAGUGACGGUAACUACCCAGAAAGGGACGGCUAACUACGUGC